UGGGGAAUAUUGGACAAUGGGCGCAAGCCUGAUCCAGCCAUGCCGCGUGAGUGAAGAAGGCCCUCGGGUUGUAAAGCUCUUUUGUCCGGAAAGAAAAGCAUCGGGUUAAUACCCCGGUGUUCUGACGGUACCGGAAGAAUAAGCACCGGCUAACUUCGUGCCAGCAGCCGCGGUAAUACGAAGGGUGCAAGCGUUACUCGGAAUUACUGGGCGUAAAGCGUGCGUAGGUGGUUCGUUAAGUCUGAUGUGAAAGCCCUGGGCUCAACCUGGGAAUGGCAUUGGAAACUGGCGGACUGGAGUGCGGUAGAGGGUAGCGGAAUUCCCGGUGUAGCAGUGAAAUGCGUAGAGAUCGGGAGGAACAUCCGUGGCGAAGGCGGCUACCUGGACCAGCACUGACACUGAGGCACGAAAGCGUGGGGAGCAAACA
RNAcentral lists this ribosomal RNA (427 nucleotides) under uncultured bacterium. RNAcentral's name for it is "bacterial SSU rRNA". It matches the Rfam family "Bacterial small subunit ribosomal RNA", at positions 355 to 774 of the family's 1533-position model. The record is from RNAcentral.